AGGACGAACGCUGGCGGCGUGCCUAACACAUGCAAGUGGAGCGACGAACCAGGCUUCGGCCUGGGGCAAAGCCGCGAACGGGUGAGUAACACGUGGGUAACCUGCCCCGAUGAUUGGGACAACCCGAGGAAACUCGGGCUAAUACCGAAUGUGCCCUCCGACCAUAAGGUCGCUGGGGAAAGGAAGCUUCGGCCUUCGCAUCGGGAUGGGCCCGCGGCCCAUUAGCUUGUUGGUGAGGUAACGGCUCACCAAGGCAACGAUGGGUAGCUGGUCUGAGAGGACGAUCAGCCACACUGGGACUGAGACACGGCCCAGACUCCUACGGGAGGCAGCAGUGGGGAAUCUUGCGCAAUGCGCGAAAGCGUGACGCAGCAACGCCGCGUGGGGGAAGAAGGCUUUCGGGUUGUAAACCCCUUUCAGUUGGGACGAAGCUUCUCCGGUGAAUAGCCGGACGGAGUGACGGUACCUUCACAAGAAGCACCGGCUAACUACGUGCCAGCAGCCGC
Molecule: ribosomal RNA, 506 nt
Filed under: uncultured bacterium
Lineage: Bacteria
Description: SSU rRNA
Rfam family: Bacterial small subunit ribosomal RNA
Source: RNAcentral